AAGGCCGUGCAUGAGGAAAGUCCGGGCUUCACAGGGCAAGGAUAGCUGCUAACGGCAGCCGGAGGCGACUCCCGGGAAAGUGCAACAGAAAGAAACCGCCGUCUUACUAGGCGGCAAGGAUGGAACGGCGAGGUAAGAGCUCACCAGCGUAUAGGAGACUAUGCGGCUAUGUAAACCCUAUCCGAAGCAACACCGCAACGAGGCACCAAUCCGCUUGCCCGGCGGGCCUCACCUAGGUGGCUUGAGCCUUUUGGCGACAAAAGGCCUAGAAAGAUUGCUGUUUGAAACAGAACUCGGCUUACACGCCUGGUC
This 312-nucleotide RNase P RNA is filed under the name human gut metagenome. RNAcentral's name for it is "Bacterial RNase P class A". It matches the Rfam family "Bacterial RNase P class A". Rfam says of the family: Ribonuclease P (RNase P) is a ubiquitous endoribonuclease, found in archaea, bacteria and eukarya as well as chloroplasts and mitochondria. The record is from RNAcentral.